Molecule: long non-coding RNA, 3685 nt
Organism: Acinonyx jubatus (cheetah)
Lineage: Eukaryota; Metazoa; Chordata; Mammalia; Carnivora; Felidae
Exons: 3
Source: RefSeq, a predicted model, not a curated record
UUUUAAUCCUCAGGUGCAUUAGUUUCCUAAGACUAUGUAACAAAUUACCACAAACCCGGUGGUUGAAAUCGAGAGAAAUUUAUUCUCUCACAGUUGUAGAGGCCAGAAUUCUGAAAUGAAGGUUUUGGCAGGACGACGCUUCCUCCAAAGGUUCUAGGGGAGAAUCUGUCCUUGCCUGGUUCAGGUUCUGGCAGCUCCAGGCAGGCGUUCCUGGGCUGGUGGUGGCAUCGCUCCAGUCUCGGCCUCCAUCUCACAUGGCUUUCUCCUGUGUGCCUCUUAAAGGACACUUGCCAUUGGAUUGAGGGCCCACCGGGUAAUCCAGCAUGACUUCAUCUUGAGAUUCUUAACUACAUGUGCAAAGACCCUUCUUCCAAAUGAGGUAAUGUUCACAGGUUCUGAGGGUUAGGAUGUGGACAUGUCUUCUUGGGAGCCACCAUUUAACCUACUACACCAGGGAAAGAGGCUUUGUAAUCUUUUCUCCUAUCAUUAUUCUUUUCACAAAAUGAUUAAGGUGAAUACUUCUUUUUGAGCAAUCCUGUAGUCUUGUCUUCAGAAUCUAUGAGCAUUUUUUAUACAAAAUUGACUUAAUGGAGGAUACAUCAUCUCCAUUUCAUUUAUUAGCUGUAAUACCUGGCAUUGAGCAGGAGACUCAUUUAACGUUGAUAAACUUUAGUAGAAAUGAUAAAAUCAUUAUUGAUCUGUAAUUUAAAAAUUAUUAUAACUUUUGGGGCGCCUGGGUGGCUCAGUCAGUUAAGCGUCUGACUCUUGGUUUCGACUCAGGUCAUGAUCUCAUGGUUUCAGGAGUUCGAGCCUCAUGUCGGGCUCUGUGCUGGCGUGAGGAGCUUGCUUGGAAUUCUCUCUCUCCACCCCUCCCCCACUCACAUUGUCUCUGUCUCUCUCAAAUAAGUAAACUUAAAAAAAUUAUUAUAAUGGUUAAAAGAACUUUAAUUUUUUUUUUGAAACUUACAGCAAAGCUUCUUUGAUUAUCAUCAGUCAUUCCGUUCUCUGGUACACAUGUGAAGAAAUUUGCUACUCUUUACCUUGAUCACACUACCUAGAGCUGCCCAUGUAAAAAACAACAUGAUCAUAAAUUACAUGCCUUCAUUUUUGACAUCUGACCUUGUAAUGAUAAAAUCAGGAAACCACAGACAUUUGAAAGUGAAAGAUCAACUCCAGGAGGUCCAUGGUUUCAGACAAUAAAUACUGACCCACUUUGCCUAAAUCCAUUGCAAUAUAGUGUUUUAGGUCUAGAUAUUACUUUUUCAAGUGGCAGGAUUCUGGUUAUUUAAUUGAAAGUAGAGAUUUCAAUAGCUCUGGGUACCUCUUGGUACCUGAAUGAAACAUAUGUCUCCUAUGGGAACAGCUUAGCACCUUUGGGCUUGACAACAGGGACAGAUCUAAGAUUCUGAAAUAAUAUUAGAUCCCUUAGUUGAUUUGUAGCAUACGUUUGAAAUCACUGUUUAUUUUCUCAAUUCGUGGGGUCUUAACGCACAUGGCCUUUUCUCUGUAUCUGUAGCCAGUCUCUCCGCAGGUCUUCAGCUUCAGGUGCUUGUGUAAGAGUGCGGGCUGCUGCCUCAGUUGUCUCUCGUGGAAGGCCUCAAGUAUAUGUGCUGCUGAAGUGAGCAUCCUGCUGCCUUAGGAAGGCUCCAAAUCUCUCCUGGCUAAGCAAGGGUAAGAGAAAUCUGGGAUUGCAUGAUAAUAGAUGAGCCAGAGGUAAGCAAGGUUCAUUAAGAACUUUGAACAAGACCCUUAAAAUGUACUCUGUCUCAGAAUUCUAAAGCUCCAUCUAAACUCUAACUGAAGGGUUAAGUUCUAAAAUGAUAGUUAGGCAUUUUGCAAAUUUCCCAUCCUUAUAGUCCCAGCAUGGGGUGGCAAGGUUAGUGGUGAGCCCUAAACUCAUCUGAAAAUCUUUUAGAAAAUACUGGUACCUGGGACUCAUCCAAGACCAAUUAAAUCAGAAAUACUAUGAGUUGGGGUAUUGAUACCUCUGUAAAAGUUCCCAAUGAAUUUAAAAAGGAGCUAGGGUUGAGAACCACUGCAUUAUUGGAGCUGGUGUAUCAACAUGAAUUUCCAGAGGUUUACUCAAUAUUAACAUGGUGUUAGGACUACAGAGGAAGGGGUGAUGUGGACCCCCAGUGAGAGGAACUGACAAUAGCUGUUUGUCGGAAGAGUGCUCAGUCUGGGGAUGGAGGAAAACCAGGAAAGGACAGUGUCUAGGAAGGUAAAGGAAGAUGGCACUUCAAGGAGUUUUGUCUGGUCAACAGGGUCCAGUGCUGCAGAGCAGUCCCAUAAUGCAAUGACUUCAAGUGUCUUUCAUAUUGAGUGACAGGAAGAUUGUUGAUCACUUUGGUGAGAUCAGCUGCAGUGACAGUUCAGUUGGCUGAGUAGAUAAAGAAAUGAAGACAAAUGAGAACUGAAAUCUUAAGAAUUCUGGCUGUGAAGUGACAGUCUUAAAAGAGAUAUACGGUGUAGGAGUUUUUUUUUUCCAGUAUUUUUUUUUUAAAUUUUAUUAAUUUAUUUUAAGAGAGAGACAGAGGGAGAAGGAGGGGCAGAGAGAGAGGAGAGAGAAAAUCUCAAGUGAGCUCUAUGCUGACAGUGGGGCUCGAUCUCACUUGAGAUCAUGACUUCAGCCAGAUCAAAUCAAGAGUCGGACACUUAACCAACUGAGCCACCCAGGAGCCCUCCUUCCAGUUUUAUUGUGAUAUAAUUGACAUAUAACAUCAUAUUGGUUUAGGAUGUACAACACAAUGAUUUGAUAUAUGUAUGUAUUGUAAAUUAUUACUACAAUAAGUUUAACAUCCAACACCUUGCACUUUUUUUUCUUGUGAAGGGAACUUUCAAGAUCUAGUUUCUUAGCAACUUUCAAAUAUAAAAUAGAGUAUUGUUAGCUAUAGUCACCAUACUGUACAUUAUCCCCAGAACUUAUUUAUAACUAGAAGUUUGUACUUUUUUGAACCUUUUCACCCAUUUCCUCUACCUCCAUGUCUUACCCUUGGGAACCACCAACCUGUUCUCUAUUUCUGUGAGUUUUUUUUUUUUUGAUUCCACAUAUAUGUGAGAUCAUAAAGCAUUUGUUUUCUCUGUGUGACUUAUUUAAUUUAACAUAAUGCCCUCAGUUUUCAUCCAUAUUGUAGCAAAUGGCAGGAUUUUCUUCUUCUACUUUUUUUUUGGGAUUUGCUUCUUUUUUAUGGCUAAAUAAUAUUCCUCUGUGUGUGUGUGUGUGUGUGUGUUGCAUUUUGAGUUUUUUAAAAUUAGAGAAUGAGUGAGAUUUGAGUGCACGUACUUGCUAAAGGAAGGGGAGUGGAUGAAGAUAUAGGGGAGAGAGGGAAUAAUGGAUGAAACAUGGUUCCUUCAAAAUGCAGAAGCAUCAGAAUCUAGAGUGUUGUUUGAAGUGUUUAGAGAAGAGAGAAGAGACUCUGCUGUCACUAAAAUGGAGAGGAGGACUGAAUGGCUGGAGUGGAUGCAGAUAAAUGUUUAGGCACAGGUGUGCAUGGGAAUGUGGGGUAUUUCCUUGAUGGUCUCUAAUUCACUGUGACAUGGAAGAAAGGUUGGUGGCAGGGUUUCUUAGUAAUCUGUUCCCCUCUGAGGCCUCUGAAACUGUUGAGAUAGGGUGACAGCUGGAUUUGAGCACAUCCUCAUUUCUCACUCCCGUCACUCCCAACACAUGAAAUAGUGUGUGUGUGUG